This is a small nuclear RNA of Nyctereutes procyonoides (raccoon dog), 104 nucleotides long. NCBI's taxonomy places the organism in Eukaryota, Metazoa, Chordata, Mammalia, Carnivora, Canidae. The record is from RefSeq and is a predicted model, not a curated record.
GUGCUUGCUUCAGCAGUACAUAUACUAACAUUGGAAUGAUACAGAGAUUAGCAUGGCCCCUGUGCAAGGAUGACAAGGAGAUUUGUGAAGUGUUCCAUAUUUCU